CCAUUCUUCCAUCCGGUAAUCCCCAGCGGUCAGGCCGGGCAGCCUGACCGAUCCGGCGCCUACUUGCUGCGCCUAGCUGCUGCGCGGUCUGACCGCUCGUGGAGUUUUUCAUGUCUGACUUUAACCGCAUCUAAUACUGUAUUACGGCGUGAGCGCAACAGCGACAACUUAAUAUCGAUGUGUAAGCAGCCUGAGUGGUAGGGUGUUUUCAUCUGAACCCUCCAGCAGGCUAUGCUGCACUAUUGACGUGUUAGCGCGCGGCGCUAACAACUUAGCAACGUGACAUGUCUCUGAGAAAGCGUAAAACACGGACGCUUCUUCUGAAGCGGAAAAUAACACCUCUUCUUAAGCAGAGCAGGAUGUCGCCUCGGCUCGUUCACGGCCGAGCCGGACUGAGCUCGAUAACAUUGACCAAGCACAGCCACUGGGCCGUUGUAGCUGCCACCAGGCCUGCUGAAGGAACUCCAGCGGGUUUCAUCAGACUCGUAAAGUUUCUUGUUUUUGCUGGGGAUUUCUGUAUUUUACCGCUCCCUCCUGCAGUCUUCCCCUAUUAAAAUUUAAAAUGUGUAACUUUAUGUAUUGUGAUGAAUGACUAAUAUUCAUGUUAAACUGAAACGUUAGGCAUUUAGGGGGAAAAAACAAAAUAAUAAACAUUAUACAGAUGUCAAAUAAAUCAAACUGUAAUUAAACUAUAUAUUUUCAAAGUCAUAUAGACAGCAUGAUGGUUUGUGUGAUCCGUGCGGUUUCACUUACACCCCUUUAAUGAUCAGGCUGUUAUUUAUUAUUUUUAUCAGCUGAUAGCAGUUAAAAUUAUGGUAAAAAAUAAUUUUAUCUGUUUUUGAUAACUUAAUGCCCAGGAAGAGCAUCUUCCUGGGCAUUAAAUAUAACCCAAAUGUUUUAUUAUGAGCAGAUCUGAUGAAGGUUUAGACAAGCAGUCUGCAAAGUAAAACUUGUUUAGAGUCCAAACUCUUACUAAAGCUUUUGAAAAGAAAAAAUGGUUGAAUUUUGAGAAAUAUCCACAACAGGGGAGCGAGACCUCUGAAAAAUGUAUAUUUUCUCUGAAUUCAUAGAAUAAUGUGAAGAUUCUGGGAAAAGUUGGGAUUCUGAGAUUAAAACGUAAAUCUUUCUAAUCAUAAUUCUGGCAGUUUUUGUGUCCUUCUGCUGUGGAAAGUCGUGCAACAUGAAGAUACUGAGAAGAUGCUUACAACCUGUAUUUUUAUUCCAUCCAUAAAUAAAAUCAUGAGCUAUUUUUUUAAUCCAAAUUUGAUCCAAAGGGCCAUCGUUGGUUCCAGACCCGUUCUAGAACAUUCCUCUAAUCUUAAAGUCAUCAUCAGUUUCUUCCUUUUAACAAAUAUUUAUUUGUUCAAAUAUUUAAUAUUUAUAACUGGAAUAUUUGUUCCUCCCUCUCCCACUGCAGUUAGUCCUGUCCUGCAACCCUGUUUUUGCAGCUUAGUGAAGCCAACCAUCACUAACCUGGGGGUGGUUUUGGACCCAGAGAUGCGGAUGGACUCCCACAUUAGCCAGGUGGUUAGAUCCUGCUUUUCCCGGCUUCGCCAGCUACCAAAGAUGAAGUCCAUCCUGAAAGACGUGUCAUAUUUUCUCCCCAAGCUGGACCUGACCGUCAUGUAUCGGUCCAAAAUAGUGUGAUGAUAUUGUGUUUUUGUACAUAACAGACUUUUUAACAGACAAAUUUGUCGCAUUCUCCUACACCUCUUCACGGGCUCGCCACAGUAAAUAUUCUAUUUGGCAAGAGAUAAACUUUAUUGUAUUUAUCCUAGUGAAUCUAUAAUUAAACGGGUAAACUAGUAGUAGCACAUCCAACAUCAAAGAAAGUAAAAUGUUAUUAUCAGGAGAGGGAGAAUGUUUAAGUGGUUAGCAGCAGUGUGCUAGCCGAUGGCCCCCUCCAUGAGGCCACCACAACUCAGCAGAACAUCAUUGUAGCUUCUUCUGGGGAGAAAAACACUUAGAGAGAAAAUAAAGUUAACAGCUGAAAUAGCAGGAAAUAAUACAGUUAAAGAGCAGAUUGUAGAAGAAAGAAACCCCUGGGUUAAACUGGUCUGUCUACUGCAUAAUGCUGAACUCUAACAUGUGUCCUAAGGGAAGGACCUGAUUGGUGUCCAGAACCUGCUGAAGAAGCACCAGGCUCUGCAGGCUGAGAUCACAGGUCAUGAACCUCGCAUCAAGGCUGUCACCCAGAAAGGAGAGACCAUGGUGGAAGAAGGUCACUUCGCUGGUGAGGAAGUGAAGACUAAACUGUGGGAGCUUCAUGGACGUUGGGACACGCUGAAGGCCAAGGCGUCCCAGAGGAGGCAGGACCUGGAGGACUCUCUGCAGGCCCAGCAGUACUUUGCGGAUGCUAAUGAGGCCGAGUCCUGGAUGAGGGAGAAGGAGCCCAUCGUUGGAAGUCCAGACUAAGGGAAAGACGAGGACUUGGCCGAGGCUCUCCUGAAGAAGCACGAGGCCCUGAUGUCGGACCUGUCAGCUUACGGCAGCAGCAUCCAGGCCCUGAAGGAGCAGGCCCAGUCCUGCAGGCAACAAGGUGAUCAGCAGGUGCUUUUGUCCUGCAGGACCUGAAGGCCAACGAGUCCCGCCUGAGGGACAUCAACAAGGUGGCAUCUGAACUGGAGUCAGAAGGUCUGAUGGCUGAGGAGGCUCCUAUGGUUCAGGCUCAGGUGAGCGUCACCUGUCUGCAGCAGCUGGUCCCUCUCACUUCCUGGUUUAACUCUGCUCGUCUCUGUUUGUAGCAACAAGAACAUCUGGGUUCUGCUCCUGGAAAGGUGCGUGUUGUCCUCCGCCUCCACCAGAACCAGACGUGGUGUUUAUGUUACCACUCAUUUGUUUGUUUACAGGAUGAAGCCGACUCUAACACGGCGUCACCCUGGAAGGUGAGUUCAUUCAGCUGAUCAGAGGUCACCUCUGAUGGCAGCAGUCACGGCCGACCGUGCUGACAUCACACAGGAAUUCAGGUGACCCGGCAGGCACCAGGUUUUGGUGAAAGUGGGGACAUGUCAGCUGGUUGCCAUGGCUAGUUAUCUUUAUGCAUCUGUAUGACUGCUGACUGGUGUGUGUUUCCUGUGACCUUUGACCUCAGACCGUACGGUUGGGCGUUCAGACGACGGCUAACUUUAAUUCCAUCAAGGUAAGAGGAAGCUCUUCCCUUCCUGUCUGAGCGAUCCGUCUCCAGGUUUCUUCGUCCGGCGUCCAGCCCGCUGGCGUCCACCUUCAUCUCACCUUCAUCUCAUCUCACUUCAUUUAUAGUGCAAUACUUUCACAUUAUCAUUUUCCCACACUUCUGUAUACCUGUAUUUUGUUGUUUUUCAAUAAAGAAUGACAAAUUA
Nothobranchius furzeri (turquoise killifish) is the source of this 3338-nucleotide non-coding RNA. NCBI's taxonomy places the organism in Eukaryota, Metazoa, Chordata, Actinopteri, Cyprinodontiformes, Nothobranchiidae. The record is from RefSeq and is a predicted model, not a curated record.